AUUGAACGCUGGCGGCAUGCCUUACACAUGCAAGUCGAACGGCAGCACGGGUGCUUGCACCUGGUGGCGAGUGGCGCACGGGUGAGUAAUACAUCGGAACAUGUCCUGUAGUGGGGGAUAGCCCGGCGAAAGCCGGAUUAAUACCGCAUACGAUCUACGGAUGAAAGCGGGGUCCCUUCGGGCCUCGCGCUAUAGGGUUGGCCGAUGGCUGAUUAGCUAGUUGGUGGGGUAAAGGCCUACCAAGGCGACGAUCAGUAGCUGGUCUGAGAGGACGACCAGCCACACUGGGACUGAGACACGGCCCAGACUCCUACGGGAGGCAGCAGUGGGGAAUUUUGGACAAUGGGCGAAAGCCUGAUCCAGCAAUGCCGCGUGUGUGAAGAAGGCCUUCGGGUUGUAAAGCACUUUUGUCCGGAAAGAAAUCCUUGGCCCUAAUACGGUCGGGGGAUGACGGUACCGGAAGAAUAAGCACCGGCUAACUACGUG
Molecule: ribosomal RNA, 486 nt
Filed under: uncultured bacterium
Lineage: Bacteria
Description: partial 16S ribosomal RNA
Rfam family: Bacterial small subunit ribosomal RNA
Source: RNAcentral